GACGAACGCUGGCGGCGUGCUUAACACAUGCAAGUCGAACGGAAAGGCCCUGCUUUUGUGGGUUGCUCGAGUGGCGAACGGGUGAGUAACACGUGAGUAACCUGCCCUUGACUUUGGGAUAACUUCAGGAAACUGGGGCUAAUACCGGAUAGGAGCUCCUGCAGCAUGGUGGGGGUUGGAAAGUUUCGGCGGUUGGGGAUGGUCUCGAGGCUUAUCAGCUUGUUGGUGGGGUAGUGGCUUACCAAGGCUUUGACGGGUAGCCGGCCUGAGAGGGUGACCGGCCACAUUGGGACUGAGAUACGGCGCAGACUCCUACGGGAGGCAGCAGUGGGGAAUAUUGCACAAUGGGCGGAAGCCUGAUGCAGAAACGCCGCGUGCGGGAUGACGGCCUUCGGGUUGUAAACCGCUUUCGCCUGUGACGAAGCGUGAGUGACGGUAAUGGGUAAAGAAGCACCGGCUAACUACGUG
Molecule: ribosomal RNA, 468 nt
Filed under: uncultured bacterium
Lineage: Bacteria
Description: partial 16S ribosomal RNA
Rfam family: Bacterial small subunit ribosomal RNA
Source: RNAcentral